UGUGUCCAAGUUUUGGCAAGAGUUUUGUAGGUUACUGGGAGCGAGUGUCAGCCUGUCUUCAGGGUUUCAUCCCCAGAGCAACGGUCAAACGGAGAGGGCCAACCAAGAUUUGGAGAGAGUGUUGCGAUGUUUGGUUUCUAAGAAUCCCUCUUCCUGGAGUCAACAACUCUCUAUGGUUGAGUACGCUCACAAUUCGUUGCCAGUGGCAGCCACGGGUCUCUCUCCGUUUGAGUGUAGUUUAGGUUACCAGCCACCUAUCUUUCCCAGUACGGAGUCCGAGGUCACUGUUCCCUCCGCUCACGCUUUCAUCCAGAGGUGCCGUCACGCAUGGAGCAGAGCCCGUGAGACUCUUCUCCGGGUGGGGCGCGCACCAAGGCUAAGGCCGAUCGCCACCGGUCGAAGCCUCCGGUAUACGUCGUUGGCCAAAGAGUGUGGCUUUCUACUAAGAACAUUCCACUCCGAUCCGUUUCGAACAAGCUUGCCCCCAAAUUUAUCGGCCCGUUCAGAGUCACCAGGAUCAUUAGUCCGGUGGCGGUCCGGCUCAAGCUUCCUCCGGCGUAUAGGAGAAUUCAUCCUACCUUUCAUGUGUCUAAAAUAAAACCUGUGUUUCAGGCACGCAUUAACCCGCCGGUCCCGGUUCCCCCGCCGCCACGACUUGUUGAUGGGGAGACCACCUUUUCUGUCAAUCGUAUUUUGGACUCUAGAAGGAGGGGACGCGGAUUCCAGUACCUGGUGGACUGGGAGGGUUACGGCCCGGAGGAGAGAAGUUGGGUACCUGCUAGGGACAUUCUGGAUCACUCCCUUAUCGAUGAUUUCAAUCGACAGUGUUUGUGUGGGCGUGGUUUCCCAAUCUCGGCCUGAUUGUCUGCGCCAGCUGGAACCACUUAUCUUCCCUUUAUAUGUUCUGUUACCAGUAUUUCUUGUUGUCAGAUCGUUGUUUCUUCUCUGAGGUUGUGUCGUGUGUCCGUGCUCUUCUCUUGUGUGGAUUAUCUGCUGUGCUCCUUCCUACUCAUCUGGACACACUCCCCUGGUUUUCUCAGCACGUUAUGAUCGGAAGAUGCGCCCGAGUUCCUGGGUCGGAUUCCUUCUGAGUACAGUCUGUCUGUCAUGUUGCUGCUGUGAACUACAUUCAUUAAAACCAUCGUUGCUUGCAUCUUG
Molecule: long non-coding RNA, 1158 nt
Organism: Oncorhynchus masou masou (cherry salmon)
Lineage: Eukaryota; Metazoa; Chordata; Actinopteri; Salmoniformes; Salmonidae
Exons: 2
Source: RefSeq, a predicted model, not a curated record